AAUGAACGCUGGCGGCGCGCCUAAUACAUGCAAGUCGAGCGAGAAGACGUAGCAAUACGUUUGUAAAGCGGCGAACGGGUGAGGAAUACAUGGGUAACCUACCCUAGAGUGGGGAAUAACUAGCCGAAAGGUUAGCUAAUACCGCGUACGCUCCUUGGACUUCGGUUCAGGGAGGAAAGCGAUGCCGAGGGUAUCGCGCUCUUGGAUGGGCUCAUGUCCUAUCAGCUUGUUGGGNGAGGUAACGGCUCACCAAGGCUUCGACGGGUAGCUGGUCUGAGAGGACGAUCAGCCACACUGGCACUGCGAC
RNAcentral lists this ribosomal RNA (307 nucleotides) under uncultured bacterium. RNAcentral's name for it is "bacterial SSU rRNA". It matches the Rfam family "Bacterial small subunit ribosomal RNA", at positions 29 to 325 of the family's 1533-position model. The record is from RNAcentral.